Molecule: long non-coding RNA, 3128 nt
Organism: Macrobrachium nipponense
Lineage: Eukaryota; Metazoa; Arthropoda; Malacostraca; Decapoda; Palaemonidae
Exons: 3
Source: RefSeq, a predicted model, not a curated record
UAACAUUCCGUCAAGAGACAUAGCUAAGGCAACAUAACGCUUGGUCGGUGCGAGUGAAAACUUUAGUCGUUGGUUCAUGUUGUUCGUUAUUAGUUUCACUCAAAUUAGGGCAACUUUUACCACAAAUGGGAGUCAGAGCGUGUGAGGUGGAAGCCAUGAAGGUUUUGUGCCAGUUCAUGUCUCCUGGAUGGUGACGUCUUCAUGUGGAAACCUGGCGGUGGUACAUAUUAAAGGAUUUUGCAUCCUUUAAUGUAACUGUAGCAUGUAGCACCACUACUGAUGUAGAUUGCACCCAUCAUAUAAAUUUCAUCCACUUGUACAUAUAAUGUAAGUUGGAAGUUUCAUCCACUUGUGCACAUAUUAAUGCAAGUUACACCAACUUCGGCACAUACCGUUGUGGAUUUCACCCAUCCAUGUACUACCUACAUGUAUUAUGCCGUGACUAGAGAUUAGACAAUGACACAUUGAGGAAGUUCAACAUUGCAUCUGAUGAAUACCAACCAGUGUAAGUUUUUCCAUUUGUGUUUUUGUUUGCAAAUAGUCGGAGACAACAUUCUUUUCCCGUUAUGACAUUAUUAAUAAUCUCUUGAAUAAUGUCUUCUUUAGAUUAUUCAUGAUGGUCUCAUUGCUAUUUGCACCAGACAGUUGUGAUUUGUUGCCAGAGUCAGUUAUGCCUAGAGGUUUUUAAGUUCAAGAUCUUCCCUUUGGCAGUUGGAUAUAUUGAUACAUUAUCUCUGAUUGUCCCAGUCUGCUAUACAUGAUUUUGUGACAACUGUUAGAAUAGAAAAUUUCAUUGCCAGCAUUAGUGAUCAAGCUAGUUUUUAGUGAAAUAUCAAGUGUUCAUUUAAAAUACAGGAUUGUGAUCACAAUGGUUUCCGGAUUUAUUAUAAAAGUGCAUCAGUUUAGGUAAUUGUACUUCAUACAGAUAGGAUUUUGGUGUAUUGAACGGAAUCAUGAUUGAAUGUGAUAUGAAUGUAGUUUUUUUCUGCGCUGUUUGUUAUUUUUAUUUUUGUACCUUUGACAUCGGUGAAGUACUGUUUAGCAUAUGUGGAUGCAUGUUGUUUAUCUACUUUAAAAUUGUUACUGGAUUUCAAAGCGUUACCUAUUGUUUCGUCUUACUUUGACUUAACCCUAAAACUUCAUGUUCUAAAUAUUUCAUGUAAUAUAUUGGCUAUAUUUUAUCCUCUUUUGGAAUCAAGAGCAUAAAGGGAUUUUAAAGUGUCGAAAGCUACAAUUUAUAAAGGAUUCUACUUAGCGGAAAUAAAGGUGUUGACUUUUCGUUUGUGCAUGUACAGUUGUUUGGAAACUGGCUCAGCCAGAGAAUGGCUUUUCACUUGAACAUUUGCUCGUUUUAAUGAUGACAAUUCUUUAUGGCAGUCUGUCGCAAAUUUUAGGGAUGCUUUUAUGUAGUGAGAAGAUGGUAAGACCUUAAGGGCUAAACUCUGGGACACAAGUUUGGAGUUAUAAACAACGGACUUUUGAGGUUUUAUUACAAAAAUAAACUGUAUAACAUGCUAAUAAGCAGAAAUCCUAUCAGGAAAUAGCAAAUCACUGCUGAUAAUUGGCUAAAUUCACAUGACUUUACUCAAACUUAGGAUUGUUGAGUGCAAUGUGUUCAUUGCACAAAGGAAUUCGUACAAGUAUCGUAGAGAGAUUUUUAACCAAAACCAUUACAAAAUUUACAUAAAAACACUAUCAAAUACUAAUCCCAAGACAGUAAUUAGUAGAAUGGUACUCAACCCAAGUUAAUUAUUAAUCCAAUAUUAACAUAGAUGCAAACAGAUAAAUUUAACAUGUGUUGAACACAGUUACACAAUGAAACUUAGUAAUAAACCCGGCUAGCAGAGGAGAACUAACGGUCACGUACCUGCCUGGUUGGUUUUUUUCUUAGUCUAAUUAUUACCAAGUUUUUACUUGCACAGAAAAAAUACACAGAUACGAAACUCCGAUCACCUAGCUGCACUUUUCCUUCUUCCUGCUAUAACCUGACAUUGUGGAAGGUUUGUUGCUAAAAGGUGGAUACGACCUUUUUGCAAUGUUCUCUACACUAGGGAAAUCUGGCCUUAAAGUUAAGCAUUUAGAAGUUUAGAACAGUGGCAGCAUGUCUCAACUGUGAGUGCUCCCAGGUUAGGAGACAUCUUUCGGCAAAAACAUCAACAUCAAAACAGUUCAAAUAUGUGAUCACCUUUCACAAUAGCAAAGAAUUUCUUACACCGUCACAAUCAUUACCUACGCUCUCACCACCUGCACAGCAUGUGACUUGGCUGGCACAAGGUUAGGUUCUCCAGAGUGGUUACUAUGACGACACUAUUUACAAUUCCCGUUUUCUAGGACUCCUCUCUUCAGCCCUCUUCUGGCAGCUACACUUACAAAUUUUAUUAUCCUUUCCAUGGUUGUUCUUAGCAAUACAAUCACACAUCUCCCUUUUCUACCCAUCUACGCAUCUUUUCAUAUUGAGUUAAUGUGGCUCUGUACACUUUGAUUGCCACCUUGGUCAACUUGUCCAUGUAGUGAUUCAGAUUCGCACAGAUCUGGCGAUUCAUCUUUAUCACUUUCGACAUCUCGGUCGUGGAUGACACGACGUUUGCACGGUCUCAGUCUCUUUAAUACCUUGAGCAUCUAACACACCCCCUCUCCCCCUAAUGUUCUCUCUGUAACCUCCGUUUCUGGGUCUCGCGUCUCUCUCCACGUCGUUCUCGCUUGCAUCAAUGCCAUCUGUGUCCAUCAUAUCACCUCAUCCUUGCUGUCGUUGUGGGAACUGACUUCUAGGAGAACGAGGUGUUCUGUUGCUCACAAGGUCUCAGUACUCUCGUACAGUACCUUCGUUGAUCUUAUGAUCCCGUUUUUGUUAGGAUAAAUCUCUGUGACUGCACCCAAAGGCCACUAUGCAUGCUUGCGUCUAGCUUGACUAGUAUGAUUUCUUCCUUGCGGAGGUUAGUCUUCCUCCCCUGCUUGUAAUCAUGCCUUGAUUGCAUGGAGGAAAGGUAUUCUCAUUGCCACUGCUCCUGGAACAUUUUAAGGGCAUCACUCAAUCAAUGAUAUUGAUCCCUUAAUUUGCUCAAUGUUAAUGUUCCAUUUAGGUCCUCUUAUGGGAGCAAUGGCGCCAUCAAACUAAUCAUAGAGCCUCA